RNAcentral lists this ribosomal RNA (259 nucleotides) under uncultured bacterium. RNAcentral's name for it is "partial 16S ribosomal RNA". It matches the Rfam family "Bacterial small subunit ribosomal RNA", at positions 793 to 1055 of the family's 1533-position model. The record is from RNAcentral.
GUCCACGCAGUAAACGAUGAUCACUAGCUGUUUGCGAUACACUGUAAGCGGCACAGCGAAAGCGUUAAGUGAUCCACCUGGGGAGUACGCCGGCAACGGUGAAACUCAAAGGAAUUGACGGGGGCCCGCACAAGCGGAGGAACAUGUGGUUUAAUUCGAUGAUACGCGAGGAACCUUACCCGGGUUUGAACGCAUUCGGACCGAGGUGGAAACACCUUUUCUAGCAAUAGCCGUUUGCGAGGUGCUGCAUGGUUGUCGU